AUGGCCGACGGCGCGCUGCUCGACCUGCUGCCCCAGAUCCACGCCCUCUUCUCCGACCAGCUCCGCGUGAUUUCGUACAAAUGGCUAAGCCGGAAUUUUUCCGUGUCAUCAGAUGACGCCAAGAGGCUGCUUCAGGAGUUUGUCAACAAACAUGGAACUGAUCACGAAGUUAUUUACAGUGUGUCUGGGUGGUUAAAGAACAAUCCUCAAAAUUAUUGUGUAAAACUCACUUCAGGCCCUAAACUUGAAGAAGCAAGGCGGGCAUUUAAGGAUUCUUGUUCAGUUCAGGUUUACAGCAUACAGGCUUGUAUUCCAAAAGACACUGCUGUACUUUGGAAUCCUGAAUUUGUGCAGGCAGAGGAGCUUUUCAACCAGCCAUUUGAUGAAGAAAAUUGUUUGAGAGAUAAUAGGUUUUGUGGUGUAAGGAAUUCUUUUGUCAAGCGAACUACCACAGGGAAGCAUGUGAACUCAAUGCCCCCAAAGCCUACAAAUAGUGUUGUAGCACCUGCAGUGGCAAAACCUAGUAGUGCUCCAAAAGAACAAUCUUCUAUUGUUCGACAGCAAGAUCUACCUGGACCAUCCGAUCCAGUGAAAGGAACGAGCAUUAAAGCUGAAAAGGAUAAUGCCUCGGUCUUGGAUAAAACUGUUAAUGCUCCGGCUGUCAAAGAGCCAUCAGUCGCUGUGCAUGCAAAUAAAACCAAAGCUCAGAACGGGAAGACCCUGCCCAGUAAUGGUGCAUCCCUGGCUACCAUGUGGGGUCGUGCAUCAGCAAAACCCAAGGCUCCAGCUGUCACUAAAGCUACAGAUCUACCAAGUGUUGCUGUUACAGCCGAUGCACAGAUAUGUGCAAAAGAAGAAGCAGACGCUGAUAGCAGCGAUGAUGAAAAAGGUGCACACUACAAGCGGGCCUCUAAUGGUGCAAGCAACAGAAAGAGAAGAGCGAUCUUUGAUUGUUCAGACGAUGACGAUGAUGACGAUUUUGUAGCCAUUGCAUCUCCAGAGCCACCAAAACAGUGUGCCAGAAAUCCUGUCACUGAAGCUGCACAAGACAAUAUAUCAGAACAGAAGAAAGUGGAAAGCAAACAGGAUACAACGAGCGAUGUGAAAGGCUUCACAAAAAGGAUCGAUUCUGACCUUACCUCUGAAUGUAAAACCAGAAGUGACAGUGCUACCAAUGGUUCUGGGAUUACCUUAAAAGAAAAGGCCAAAGAUUCACCAAACAAGAAGGAUCAGGCUGCUGAGACAACUUCCACCUCACCUAAAAGAAGGAAGGUUUUGAAGACACGUAUAGAUGAGCGGGGCAGAGAAGUAACUGAGGUUGUCUGGGAGGGCGAAGCUCCUGCAAGUGACAAGGCAGAGAAAAAUGUUACCAAUACUGAUGCCACUAACAGGCCAACUCUUCCAAGCAAGCCACAGCCAGCAGCUAACACUGACAGGAACAAUGCUCCAAGUAAAACAGCAGGCGGCAAGAAACCUGCCAAGGCUGCCCCCAAGCAAGGAAAGAACAUAAUGUCAUUCUUCAAGAAGGUAUAA
Molecule: ribosomal RNA, 1533 nt
Filed under: Triticum aestivum (bread wheat)
Lineage: Eukaryota; Viridiplantae; Streptophyta; Magnoliopsida; Poales; Poaceae
Description: partial small subunit ribosomal RNA
Source: RNAcentral